Hyaena hyaena (striped hyena) is the source of this 281-nucleotide long non-coding RNA. RefSeq lists it as uncharacterized. NCBI's taxonomy places the organism in Eukaryota, Metazoa, Chordata, Mammalia, Carnivora, Hyaenidae. The record is from RefSeq and is a predicted model, not a curated record. The transcript has 2 exons.
CCAUCACAUUGGAGUUUUGGACUUCAACCUAAGAGUUUUGGAGAGUCACAAUUCAGUCUAUGAAACUUGGAGCAUGUAAAACAGAAGAUGUGGUGGUAUUAAGCAGCCAGAGCCAUUUUCUAAAUGAGCGCAAAAGAAGCCUAAGCAGUUUACACAAACAAGUCAACUCGCUGAGCUGCUGUAAUCUGCAUUUGAGAUUCUUAGCCCAGGGCUGGCCACUCCUGGCUUGCUCUUUUAAACAAAAUGCCAAUGCAAAGAUUAAAGUGGAAUGUACUUAUGCA